CUUCUUACCUGGCGGGGGACAGACCGUGGUCAAGAAGGGAGUUCUCCCUGGAUGAGACUAGUCCAUCGCACUCCGGCUGCUCUGACCCCUGCGAUUUCCCCACACGCGGGGCCCUUGUCUGCGGU
RNAcentral lists this small nuclear RNA (125 nucleotides) under Pongo abelii (Sumatran orangutan). It matches the Rfam family "U1 spliceosomal RNA". From Rfam's summary of the family: U1 is a small nuclear RNA (snRNA) component of the spliceosome (involved in pre-mRNA splicing). Its 5' end forms complementary base pairs with the 5' splice junction, thus defining the 5' donor site of an intron. There are significant differences in sequence and secondary structure between metazoan and yeast U1 snRNAs, the latter being much longer (568 nucleotides as compared to 164 nucleotides in human). The record is from RNAcentral. Lineage: Eukaryota; Metazoa; Chordata; Mammalia; Primates; Hominidae.